RNAcentral lists this ribosomal RNA (450 nucleotides) under uncultured bacterium. RNAcentral's name for it is "partial 16S ribosomal RNA". It matches the Rfam family "Bacterial small subunit ribosomal RNA", at positions 354 to 796 of the family's 1533-position model. The record is from RNAcentral.
GUGGGGAAUUUUGGACAAUGGGCGAAAGCCUGAUCCAGCCAUGCCGCGUGCAGGAUGAAGGCCUUCGGGUUGUAAACUGCUUUUGUACGGAACGAAAAGACUCUGGUUAAUACCUGGGGUCCAUGACGGUACCGUAAGAAUAAGCACCGGCUAACUACGUGCCAGCAGCCGCGGUAAUACGUAGGGUGCAAGCGUUAAUCGGAAUUACUGGGCGUAAAGCGUGCGCAGGCGGUUAUAUAAGACAGAUGUGAAAUCCCCGGGCUCAACCUGGGAACUGCAUUUGUGACUGUAUAGCUAGAGUACGGCAGAGGGGGAUGGAAUUCCGCGUGUAGCAGUGAAAUGCGUAGAUAUGCGGAGGAACACCGAUGGCGAAGGCAAUCCCCUGGGCCUGUACUGACGCUCAUGCACGAAAGCGUGGGGAGCAAACAGGAUUAGAUACCCCUGUAGUCC